UCUCUCUGCUCCUUUCCUCGCCGUCGCCCUCUCUCUGCCAGGCUCUCCUGUUCGUCCUCCAGGGGCCCACGCUAGCCCCUCACCUCCCCUGAAGCCUUUUCUAACCGCUGCGGCCUCCGUGGUCCCCCACGCCUGUGUUCCUGUAGGACGUUUACAGUUCACACGAUGUCUCAUCUCUCGGUAUAUGUCUCCCAGAAACGAAAAUGGACGGCCAUAUGUCACAAGAGAAUGAAAUCUUUGCUCCCAAUCCCUGUCUUCAGAGCUGACCUAGAAGCCAGCCACUCCACUCAGAC
Molecule: long non-coding RNA, 293 nt
Filed under: Homo sapiens (human)
Lineage: Eukaryota; Metazoa; Chordata; Mammalia; Primates; Hominidae
Description: non-protein coding lnc-PTCD2-1:3
Source: RNAcentral